RNAcentral lists this ribosomal RNA (425 nucleotides) under uncultured bacterium. RNAcentral's name for it is "partial 16S ribosomal RNA". It matches the Rfam family "Bacterial small subunit ribosomal RNA", at positions 354 to 796 of the family's 1533-position model. The record is from RNAcentral.
GUGGGGAAUAUUGGACAAUGGGCGAAAGCCUGAUCCAGCAAUGCCGCGUGAGUGAUGAAGGCCCUAGGGUUGUAAAGCUCUUUUACCCGGGAUGAUAAUGACAGUACCGGGAGAAUAAGCUCCGGCUAACUCCGUGCCAGCAGCCGCGGUAAUACGGAGGGAGCUAGCGUUGUUCGGAAUUACUGGGCGUAAAGCGCGCGUAGGCGGUUUUUUAAGUCAGAGGUGAAAGCCCGGGGCUCAACCCCGGAAUUGCCUUUGAAACUGGAAAACUUGAAUCUUGGAGAGGUCAGUGGAAUUCCGAGUGUAGAGGUGAAAUUCGUAGAUAUUCGGAAGAACACCAGUGGCGAAGGCGACUGACUGGACAAGUAUUGACGCUGAGGUGCGAAAGCGUGGGGAGCAAACAGGAUUAGAUACCCCUGUAGUCC